UACGGAGGAUGCAAGCGUUAUCCGGAUUUAUUGGGUUUAAAGGGUGCGUAGGCGGAUAUGCAAGUCAGCGGUGAAACUCACAGGCUCAACCUGUGCCGUGCCGUUGAAACUGUGUAUCUGGAAUGCGGAUGCUGUGGGAGGAAUGUGUAGUGUAGCGGUGAAAUGCAUAGAUAUUACACAGAGCACCGAUUGCGAAGGCAUCUCACAAAGCCGUUAUUGACGCUGAGGCACGAAAGUGUGGGGA
RNAcentral lists this ribosomal RNA (244 nucleotides) under uncultured prokaryote. Its description in RNAcentral is "partial 16S ribosomal RNA". It matches the Rfam family "Bacterial small subunit ribosomal RNA", at positions 524 to 767 of the family's 1533-position model. The record is from RNAcentral.